This is a long non-coding RNA of Daphnia pulicaria, 579 nucleotides long. RefSeq lists it as uncharacterized. NCBI's taxonomy places the organism in Eukaryota, Metazoa, Arthropoda, Branchiopoda, Diplostraca, Daphniidae. The record is from RefSeq and is a predicted model, not a curated record. The transcript has 2 exons.
GCAUAACAUUUUAAUUCGCGAGCGGAGGUAACGGGGGUUUCAGCACUUGGGUCAGAUUUCUUUUUUAAGUCGGUGAACCAGAAGACAGGUAAAAACGAGUACAGUCUUCAGUACAAAUUUUCCUAUAAAAAGUGUCGUUUGCAGUAGGAUUCCACAGACCAACUUGAGUCUUCUCUUGCAGAGGUAUACAGCUACUCAAUCUUCAAAGCUCUACUUAAUUCUUUUUCAAAACUACUGAAAAUGACUUGUAAAAUUGCCAUUUAUUGUCUCCUUCUGGUUCUGGUAGCCAUGAUUGGAUUGGUGUCGGCAGCUCCACCAACUGGAAGAUCGCAAGGUUUUAAACAUUAUUGUGAAAAGAAAACGACCAGCAGUGGAAAUACGCAAUAUUUUUUUGGGUAUGAGACAGUACAACUCCCUUCCGACUGGAAAGGAUCGACUGAGGAAUCAAGCUCGACCAGCAAAGACGGAGCAGUAACUACGCAUAUCAAUUCUUGGUAUCAACUGACUAAAGAAACAGAUGUUAAGUGCGAAAAUUUAAAAUACCUUUAAAACGAGAAAUACAAAACUCUUUAUCACAUA